GAUGAACGCUGGCGGCGUGCUUAACACAUGCAAGUCGAGCGAAGCACUUAAGUUUGAUUCUUCGGAUGAAGACUUUUGUGACUGAGCGGCGGACGGGUGAGUAACGCGUGGGUAACCUGCCUCAUACAGGGGGAUAACAGUUAGAAAUGACUGCUAAUACCGCAUAAGACCACAGGGUCGCAUGACCCGGUGGUAAAAACUCCGGUGGUAUGAGAUGGACCCGCGUCUGAUUAGCUAGUUGGUGGGGUAACGGCUCACCAAGGCGACGAUCAGUAGCCGACCUGAGAGGGUGACCGGCCACAUUGGGACUGAGACACGGCCCAAACUCCUACGGGAGGCAGCAGUGGGGAAUAUUGCACAAUGGGGGAAACCCUGAUGCAGCGACGCCGCGUGAAGGAUGAAGUAUUUCGGUAUGUAAACUUCUAUCAGCAGGGAAGAAAAUGACGGUACCUGACUAAGAAGC
Molecule: ribosomal RNA, 463 nt
Filed under: uncultured bacterium
Lineage: Bacteria
Description: bacterial SSU rRNA
Rfam family: Bacterial small subunit ribosomal RNA
Source: RNAcentral